UACGUAGGGUGCGAGCGUUGUCCGGAAUUAUUGGGCGUAAAGAGCUCGUAGGCGGUGUGUCACGUCGGCCGUGAAAACCUGCAGCUUAACUGUGGGCGUGCGGUCGAUACGGGCAUCACUGGAGUUCGGCAGGGGAGACUGGAAUUCCUGGUGUAGCGGUGAAAUGCGCAGAUAUCAGGAGGAACACCAGCGGCGAAGGCGGCGCUCUGGGCCGGUACUGACGCUGAGGAGCGAAAGCGUGGGUAGCAAACAGG
RNAcentral lists this ribosomal RNA (254 nucleotides) under uncultured bacterium. RNAcentral's name for it is "partial 16S ribosomal RNA". It matches the Rfam family "Bacterial small subunit ribosomal RNA", at positions 524 to 776 of the family's 1533-position model. The record is from RNAcentral.